Molecule: ribosomal RNA, 124 nt
Filed under: Ilyonectria sp.
Lineage: Eukaryota; Fungi; Ascomycota; Sordariomycetes; Hypocreales; Nectriaceae
Description: partial large subunit ribosomal RNA
Rfam family: Eukaryotic large subunit ribosomal RNA
Source: RNAcentral
CGGCAACAGCUCAAAUUUGAAAUCUGGCCCUCGGGUCCGAAUUGUAAUUUGUAGAGGAUGCUUUUGGUGAGGUACCUUCCGAGUUCCCUGGAACGGGACGCCAUAGAGGGUGAGAGUCCCGUCU